CCGAGCCCCUCCCACUCCGCACCAGUUCCCCCAACUCUCCCUACCAUCUCACGCACGCCGGCCGUCCACCUCGCCGUUUCGGUCCCCGCAUUGUCCGGCACCUCUGUUCCCCGCCCGCUCGCCGGAGACUCGCCGCGGGAGUUUAAUGGGCAAGGAGAAUUACCAGGACUGCAAGGGGACUGAAUACAAAUAUAGCAGUGGUUCGCUGGAUAUAUGCGCCAGCGAUAAAGUUCAUCAGGGCAGCAAAGAAGAAUAUUGCACCGACCAGAUAGGUGAUCACAGCUGAGGAGGUCACAAUAUCCAGAUGUAGUAUCCUGUGGAAAUAGGCUACAAGGCUGAAGUUUGCACUGUUGGGGCAACUUCGCAGCACGACCAAAACUGCAAAUGAACAUAGAAUUCAGCUCCGACAGAUUGUUCGAUUCUGGUUCAAGAUGCAUGCAACUAUAUUAUUUUAGGAUCAGCAAGAGUGAAACAAAUCAUACUUUUCAGGUUAGGCUAAGCCAUUUGAUUCCUACAAACAGAUCUGUGUGGACCAAUGAGAUUCACUCAGUUUUACCAAGCUGAGUUGUAGAUGCCCAAUUAAUAGAUAUAUCAUGCUUGAACAAACACAGCUAGUCUGAAUUCA
Triticum urartu is the source of this 625-nucleotide non-coding RNA. The record is from RefSeq and is a predicted model, not a curated record. Lineage: Eukaryota; Viridiplantae; Streptophyta; Magnoliopsida; Poales; Poaceae.